RNAcentral lists this long non-coding RNA (1422 nucleotides) under Homo sapiens (human). RNAcentral's name for it is "BDNF antisense RNA". The record is from RNAcentral. Lineage: Eukaryota; Metazoa; Chordata; Mammalia; Primates; Hominidae.
GAGAUCAGGAAGGUGGCCGAGUGUGUCGCCGCGGCCAUCAGGCACUUCUCCUUCCUGCCCUUGUAUGAAGAAGGAUGUGUUUGCUUCCCCUUGUGCCAUGAUUGUAAAUUUCCUGAGGCCUCCUCAGCCCUGCAGAACUGGCUAGAGCAAUGUAUCUUAGGCUCACUUAAGGAAGCUGUAGAGAUGAGCCCAAGGAGGGAAACCAGAAGAGCCCCCCAGGCUCACCAGUUGUUUGUUGGCUCCCUACAAACAUGUCAUUCAAGUGGCUAAUCUUACAACAGCACAAAUUCAUCUAACCAGAAAGAGAAGAGGAGGCUCCAAAGGCACUUGACUACUGAGCAUCACCCUGGACGUGUACAAGUCUGCGUCCUUAUUGUUUUCUUCAUUGGGCCGAACUUUCUGGUCCUCAUCCAACAGCUCUUCUAUCACGUGUUCGAAAGUGUCAGCCAAUGAUGUCAAGCCUCUUGAACCUGCCUUGGGCCCAUUCACGCUCUCCAGAGUCCCAUGGGUCCGCACACCUGGAGAUACUCUAUUAUAGCAAAGAAGAAAGAUAAUUUCAUUGAGCCAUCCUGUUUUACAGAAUGUCUGCAAUAUCUGCUGGCUUUAUGUUUCAUAUGAUAAGCAUAUCGUCUGUGCCUUCAGACACAUUAUCAGCCAACAUGUCGGUGCUGGAUGUAUUUUCCCAAUGUUGCAUAAGAGGAAUACCUUCGAGAGUUUGGCCUAGGAAUGUGGCCUGGGACUCCGCCAAGCAUCUCUCUCCAGCAAAAUGACUGCAAAUUUCUCGACCUUCAGAUUCUACAUGAUGUAAAAGAAGUUUGUCUGUGUUUAAAAACACAUUCAAGAAAUAAGUGAACAUGUGAAAAGACAGAAAAACUUGUUUUAAUUUGGGCAUAGUUUCAGUUUUCAAAGGCACAUGAAGGCAGAAAGAAAGAAUCACAAAAUGGAACUACUGAUGAUAGCAACUCCAAAACCAAGACUGAUUAGACUAAAUCCCAUGUGGCAAAAAUUUUAUUUAGUAAGUUUCCUUCUCCCUCUCUCCCUUUAGAUAUAUGUGCAUACACACACACGCACCUUUAUUUUAGUAAUUUUUUUUUUCUGAAAAAGAAAGUUUUCUGCACCUGAUUGCUUCCAUGAAUAACACAAAGCACAAACAAUAUGACUUUCUUUGGUUAUCAUGCAAUUUUUUCUCUGCUUACCAGAAAUUGGCACAAAUUUAAGAUAUACUAUAUUCUACUCCCUGAAGCACAGUCGCUGGCAUCUCCACUGGCAUUUAAAAAUUUGAAGACAUUUAAAAGAAAAUCCACAAGCUUAUAGUUGCUGUCUAAAUCAACUUUAACAUUUCAUAUAUUCACAAUUUCAUAAGUGAAUCAAAUUACACAUAAGAAAUUAUAGAACUAAGCCAACUAAAUGACUUUUAUAAUA